CCUAAACUCUGUCUUACUUGCAUAAUGAUAAUUCAUGUCGUCAAACCAAACGCACUGUUUGCUGCUCGUUUGUCCAGGAGCCAUCUUUUCCUAAAGUGAGCAAUAUUACGUGCAUUUUGUCUGGCUGGCCGAGGGCUCCUCCCUACAGCUUCUGCAGCCAUGGAAGAGUCUGGAAGGACAGUGUUCGCUUGUACAAGAAGAGGGAAGGAUAGGAUGAGAAAAGCAAAAUCUUGGAGAGUCUGUGGUCGGAAGAAGAAAGCUGAAGCUGGUUAGGAGGAAGGAGUGUGUGAGUGAAUUAGGAGCUGAAGCAGUAAAGUAGCUUUCCCUGUGACCCUGAUGUGUCGGGCAUUUCUGUCUUAGACUAAAAGCAUAAUAAAAAAGGCACUUUGUUUAGGUUAACAGAGCAUUAUAUAACUGGAAAGUUUUACAGUUUUAUAUAUAUAGUGAAUAGUUUGUAGAGGAUAAAAAGACUUCCCUUUGGUUUAUUAUUUGGGUAAAAUAAAAACCCACGAAUCAUUUAAGGAUGCAUUUCUUUUUCUUUUUUCUGCCUUUUUUUUUUUAAGACAAAAGCUUGAAGGCAUAAAAUGGAGUUAUUUUCAUCGGGAUAUCACCCUCGAUGCUGCUGCUUUACUACAUGUUCAUAGUCAAAAUUAUUUCAUGUUUCCCUUGAAUAACUACGAUCAGUUUGAAAACAGCUUUGUUAAUUAGUAAGAGAUGACGCAAUAUAUCACUGCAUCUUUAGGGCUCUGGCGCCAGCUAGUGGUAGGAGAGGGGAGCCGCCCUGUCGCUCUCAAAUCUGGGAAGGCGUCGGUCUUCUCGCGUCCCCUUAUCCCUCAUCCUCCUCAUUUUUUUUUUCCAUCAGCAUAAUGGGGGAAUCAUUGCAGUGUGGCCAGAGAGGAGCAGACGAGAUUAUAGAUGAAAGUAGAGAAAAACGGUGGGCAGGGGCAGGGAGAGGAAAGGCCAGACAAAUGCAAUCAUUUCUCCAAAGGAUUUGAGAAGAGAUCAUUUAUUUGAAAUAUUCCUGCCAUGUUGAUGGAGCAGCUCAAUCUUUUGCCAGUGAAUCUUUAGCGUUUUGUUUUUCAUUUGUAGAUAUGGUUGAACAUAUACUUAGGACACGUAAUAACUAUGGAACUUCAUCACAAACACAGCACUGAGGACAUGUUAAGGAGACAUGCAUACAAGGAGAAUGCCAGGUGAACGUGAAGACCAUCAUUUGCAAGCCAAGAGAGGCCUGGAGCAGAUCCUUCAGAGCCCUCAGAAGGGACCAACCCUGCUGGCACCUUGAUUUUGGACUUCCAGCCUCCAGAACUAAGAACUUGAUGUAUACCUCCUGACCUGUUCAUCUUGUAGCUGCCUCUUGACAGCACAUGUUGGCACCUUUAGAAAGAUCUAGAAAUCCACGUGUUGUACGUAAAUCUGGGGCUGUUGUUACUGCAGAUGUACCUUCCACAACUUGAUUUUCUGUGAUGUCAAUUAUUCAGGUUGGAAUCUCUGCAUUUGCAGAAUGUGAUCUCUUACAAUGAUGACUGCAUCUCUGCAGGCUGCAGAGGCCCGGGGACACAUGCUUUCCUCUACUUGUAGAAGGAGGCACCAGACACCUCUUACCCUGGAGUUCUUUUCUCUAGAAGAUAGCCUAUACAGUGGGACAUGGCGUCUUCAACCUCCUGACUCUAAUCACCUUUGAAGAUAAGCAUCCAAUCCCUUUACAUUAAAGGUAUGGGAUUACAAGACAGACAAACAAAGGGAGACGCUACAUGCUUCCAGAAAAAUAUU
Molecule: long non-coding RNA, 1773 nt
Organism: Homo sapiens (human)
Lineage: Eukaryota; Metazoa; Chordata; Mammalia; Primates; Hominidae
Exons: 6
Source: RefSeq, a predicted model, not a curated record